UCAAAAGCAGCACUGCCCCUGUCCAAGAUGUCUCUAUAGCGUUGGUAUGUCUCCUCAUUGUCCACCAGUUUGGCCAUUUUACACAUCACACACAGGGACGCUAACCACAAUCCACCACAGUAUGCACUUGGUCCAGUCACUUUCCAACCGUCAUAGGUCUGGUCCGCAUAUCCAGAGUUCUCUAUCAGGCCAUCUCCAUCCAAGUCAAACUUCAUCUCUGUCUCCAUCACUGCCUAGCAGAACAACCAUGAUGAGAUAGUUAAGUGUAAUAAAAAUGUGACCAAGCACCAUAUAAUCCAGCAAACUUGUUUUGUGUUACCACUACAGAUGGGAUCUGAAAUGCAGACUAGGGCUGAAUGAUUAAUCGUUUUCAAAUCAAAAUCAAAUUUUUGAAAGAAUCGUGAAGACAAUUAAUGUGAAAUAUUUAGUUGACUAUUUGGUGUCACAUUUGAUUUAAUAUUUUUUAUUCCUCUUUUCAUUAUUAUAUUUACUGUUUUUUCACAAGAUAAAUGCUGGAAAAAUUUUACAUAUUCAAUGGAUCUUUUAUUUAUUUUGUAUUACUUUAUAUAACAUUAUCGUAGAAGGUGCAAGACCUAGCUAAAAAAAUAAAACAAAAACUCAAAUUGAAUCAUAGUUACAAUACCUGGCAGGAAAAUCACAACUAGACUUUCCCCCCUUAAAUCAUUCAGCCCUAAUGCAGACUAUGUGGAUCAGUUAUACCUGGCAGACGGGCCACAUGUCCUGCAGGUACUGAUUGUCCUGUGUGAGAUGAAAGUCCCUGUAGACCUGCAGGACAAACUUCAGGUUCAGGUCCUUCCAGUCUGCAGUGUCAUGGAUGAGGUAGGCAUUUACCCUCUGCCAUGGCUCAUCAUCUAGGGACAGAGUCAUCAUGUUAUACUGCGAGACCAUUCAUGACGGUAAAAAAACUUGCCCGGUAAAAAAGCCGCUUUAAAAUGUCAGCACAGAAAUGCACUUAAACUUAUUAAAAUUAAACAUUGAGUUAUCCCUGUAGUUAAUGACAAUGUCUUUCUCCUACCUGGGUCUCCUAUGUCGUGAGGAACCACAUUUUUGGCCUUGACAGGAGAAUACCGCCCACUCAUCAGAUGGAGCCUUUCUGUGGGGUCAUGCUGAACCACACUGCCAGCUGAGAAGAGAUUAAUGCCCCUAAAUAAACCCUUGUCCUUGUAUUGCUCUUUUUCAAAUACACAUGCUUAGAUUAUUGAUAAAACAUUAAGACAAAAGAACUUCACCCACCAAUAUCGUAUUGCAAACUCAAGGCAAGUUUGGGCCACAGCAUGAUAAGUGCAAAGGAGGCGUAGAAGUGCACAUCGUAGGUGUUAUACAUUCUGUACUCCUGACCUGGGAAACAACAAUAACAUAGCAAUAUUGGUCACAUAUUUAAUUUAGGCAGAUUUACUUUUGCCAACCCUGAAUACUGAAUGCAAGUUAGUUUCUCUUGUGCGACAGACUUCUGUUUUCUUCAAUAAACGACAACAAUUGCAUGAGUUUGGCUGAGCAAGUUUUAGCAUGAAUCCACAAAAUUCUCACAUUUAAGAAGUUGGAACCAGGGAAUGUUUAAUUAUUUGCUUAGUUGCAGAGGAAUUCUUUUGUCCAACUAAUCAAUUCAUUAUUUGAGCCCUAAACUGUGUCUAGUUUUGCAGACUAACACGUUUCUUUGGCACUUACCUUCCAGGUAGGCAAAACGGCCAAACUCCUUGAUGACAGCAGGCUGAGCUGGCAGCCCCCCGUCCUUACUGCGCACCCCACCACUGACAUCAGCAUCCUCCGGUAGCUCUGUCCACACCGUCCCUCCAUCCACCACAAAGUACAACUCAUUAAACAGGGCUGACUUAUACCAGGAGGGGAGAGAACUGCAACACAAGCCAAGGUGAGAGGAUAAACACAUUUUAAGCAUUCAUAGACAGAAAAACAUAUUGAUUGGUGUUGAGGUCAUUGUAAUUUAUCAUUGUCUUUGUAAGCUAGUACUUAUUUCUCAUGUAACGUACAGACUACCUGUCCUGGAGUAUGGGUCUUUGCCCCUCCUCAAUGCUCUUCUCCCACUGUGUGUAGUGUGUUAGGGCGUAGUGACUGAGCGAGGGGGACGCGUCCCCUUUGGUCCCAAAGUAACGCGUGUAUCUCCUGGACACAGAAAAGCCACAAGCUGAUGUUAGAGACACAAGGACACUGCAUGUUCAACAAAUGCAAAUACAAAAGCA
Etheostoma spectabile (orangethroat darter) is the source of this 2216-nucleotide long non-coding RNA. RefSeq lists it as uncharacterized. The record is from RefSeq and is a predicted model, not a curated record. Lineage: Eukaryota; Metazoa; Chordata; Actinopteri; Perciformes; Percidae. The transcript is spliced from 3 exons.